RNAcentral lists this long non-coding RNA (1259 nucleotides) under Mytilus galloprovincialis (Mediterranean mussel). The record is from RNAcentral. Lineage: Eukaryota; Metazoa; Mollusca; Bivalvia; Mytilida; Mytilidae.
AUUGAAGUAGCAUCCAUGUAUGCUCCAUCACUGCAGUUAUUUAUUUCACUUAUACAUGUACAUGUAGUUUGACAAAGGUGACAUUGAUAUAGGAGCCUGGUUUUGUUUCCAGGUGAUAUAACUGUAUGUUCCAUAAAGCUAUUAUUAGUCAUUCCAAUUUUACAAAUCUGAUGGGAGUAAAAAAGAAUUAGCAAAAUUGAGAGAAUUUUUAAUAUAUUUAAGUACAAGCUCAAGUGCAUAGACUACAACACAAAUGACUAUUUAAUACUUUUAAUGAACUCUUUAAUCAUGCAAAAUUUUAUUGGUGGUCCACACUCAACAGUCUUCCUUAUACAUGUACAUUAAUUGUACUUCAAGUAAAAUCUAGCUAAAUAAAGGCAACAGUAGUAUACUGGUGAUCAAGACAUAAAAUCAAUUAAGCAAAAAGAAAUUUUGGGUCACAAACCAAAAUCGAGAGAAACACAUCAACAAUAAGAGGAAAAUAACAGAACAACAAAAACAAAUCCAACAUACAUAGAAACCGGCUAUUUGAUAAUAACUGCCAUGUUUCUAACUUGGAACAGGACAUUUUAAGAAAAAUUUUUGGGCAGUUAACCUUAACCAAAGUUAUAGAAGAUUUAGUUUAGAAGAAAACAAACACAUUUUUCUUGCAACUGAUAUUUUGUAGCGAAAAACAUGCCAAGUGGCUUCUUAUCACACCCUGCCCCUUACUACUUAUAAAUGAUACAAAUUUUUCAAUUUUUAAUGUGUUCUUUUCUCAGGUUAAGUUUAAAUUGUUAGCCAAAAUAUAUUUUUUUACAUCAUACUACACAUUGUACCACUUUAUGCAUAUUAUACAAAAACUAGUCAAAAUGUGAUUGCUUGAUAUACUGUCUCAUUUGUGCUUUAUUAUGAUUAAUUAAAUUUUUGGCAUACUGUCUCAUAACAUCUAUUUAUUCUUUUUUUAUGGCUUCAGAAGUUUCACAUGAUUCAGAAUGUGAAAUUUUCAAGUAUUUUAUGUCCAAAAAGGGUUGUUUUCUGAGUUUUCAAGGUUUUAUACUUUCAGUCAUAUAUCAUCAUGUUUCAAAGGUCUUAUUAAAGAGAUUAUUAAAUCCUCCCACAAAAACUUCACUCUAGUAUUUUUUUCUUUUAACACCAUAGUCAUUCCCCUUAACCCAAAAUCCUUGUUACCAUUGAAAAGUAAAAUACUCUAUCAUAACAUAACUUUGCAGUUCAUCAAAAUUUCAAAUUUCAAUUUUCUACCAAGCAGGUGCCAGGCC